UCUGCAUUUCCCGAUUCGUGUGUGCUCACC
RNAcentral lists this non-coding RNA (30 nucleotides) under Mus musculus (house mouse). Lineage: Eukaryota; Metazoa; Chordata; Mammalia; Rodentia; Muridae. The record is from RNAcentral.